Molecule: transfer RNA, 69 nt
Filed under: Ictidomys tridecemlineatus (thirteen-lined ground squirrel)
Lineage: Eukaryota; Metazoa; Chordata; Mammalia; Rodentia; Sciuridae
Description: Spermophilus tridecemlineatus (thirteen-lined ground squirrel) tRNA
Rfam family: tRNA
About the family: Transfer RNA (tRNA) molecules are approximately 80 nucleotides in length. Their secondary structure includes four short double-helical elements and three loops (D, anti-codon, and T loops).
Source: Rfam by way of RNAcentral
GGUGUUGUGGCUCGGUGGUAGAGCACUUGCCUGGCAUGUGUGAGCCACUGGGUUCGAUCCUCAGCACCA